Molecule: unclassified non-coding RNA, 242 nt
Filed under: soil metagenome
Description: partial contains internal transcribed spacer 2 and large subunit ribosomal RNA
Rfam family: 5.8S ribosomal RNA (bases 1-106)
Source: RNAcentral
GAUGAAGAACGCAGCGAAAUGCGAUACUUGGUGUGAAUUGCAGAAUCCCGUGAACCAUCGAGUGCAUGGUGUCGGGUGUACCAUGAUGGAUGGUGGUUGAGUGAUGAUGCUCGAGACCAAUCAUGGGUAACUCCACCAGAAUUGGGCUCGGUGACCCACAUGCGUCCCUUGGAUGCUCCCUAAGGAGACCUCAGGUCAGGCGGGGCUACCCGCUGAGUUUAAGCAUAUCAAUAAGCGGAGGA